RNAcentral lists this ribosomal RNA (497 nucleotides) under uncultured bacterium. RNAcentral's name for it is "partial 16S ribosomal RNA". It matches the Rfam family "Bacterial small subunit ribosomal RNA", at positions 28 to 507 of the family's 1533-position model. The record is from RNAcentral.
GAUGAACGCUGGCGGCGUGCCUAAUACAUGCAAGUCGAGCGAACAGAUGAGGAGCUUGCUCCUCUGACGUUAGCGGCGGACGGGUGAGUAACACGUGGAUAACCUACCUAUAAGACUGGGAUAACUUCGGGAAACCGGAGCUAAUACCGGAUAAUAUAUUGAACCGCAUGGUUCAAUAGUGAAAGACGGUUUUGCUGUCACUUAUAGAUGGAUCCGCGCCGCAUUAGCUAGUUGGUAAGGUAACGGCUUACCAAGGCAACGAUGCGUAGCCGACCUGAGAGCGUGAUCGGCCACACUGGAACUGAGACACGGUCCAGACUCCUACGGGAGGCAGCAGUAGGGAAUCUUCCGCAAUGGGCGAAAGCCUGACGGAGCAACGCCGCGUGAGUGAUGAAGGUCUUCGGAUCGUAAAACUCUGUUAUUAGGGAAGAACAAAUGUGUAAGUAACUAUGCACGUCUUGACGGUACCUAAUCAGAAAGCCACGGCUAACUACGUG